This 468-nucleotide ribosomal RNA is filed under the name uncultured bacterium. RNAcentral describes it as "partial 16S ribosomal RNA". It matches the Rfam family "Bacterial small subunit ribosomal RNA", at positions 28 to 507 of the family's 1533-position model. The record is from RNAcentral.
GACGAACGCUGGCGGCGUGCUUAACACAUGCAAGUCGAACGGAAAGGCCCUGCUUUUGUGGGGUGCUCGAGUGGCGAACGGGUGAGUAACACGUGAGUAACCUGCCCUUGACUUUGGGAUAACUUCAGGAAACUGGGGCUAAUACCGGAUAGGAGCUCCUGCUGCAUGGUGGGGGUUGGAAAGUUUCGGCGGUUUGGGAUGGACUCGCGGCUUAUCAGCUUGUUGGUGGGGUAGUGGCUUACCAAGGCUUUGACGGGUAGCCGGCCUGAGAGUGUGACCGGCCACAUUGGGACUGAGAUACGGCCCAGACUCCUACGGGAGGCAGCAGUGGGGAAUAUUGCACAAUGGGCGGAAGCCUGAUGCAGCAACGCCGCGUGCGGGAUGACGGCCUUCGGGUUGUAAACCGCUUUCGCCUGUGACGAAGCGUGAGUGACGGUAAUGGGUAAAGAAGCACCGGCUAACUACGUG